GAACGUUGGCGGCGUGGAUUAGGCAUGCAAGUCGAACGAGAAAGGUCUUUUCGGAGACCGAGUACAGUGGCGGACGGGUGAGUAAUGCAUAGAUAACCUGCCCUCGAGACGGGGACAACGCCUCGAAAGGGGUGCUAAUACCCGAUGCCGCCUCGGCCUUGCGAGGUCGAGGUGAAAGGAGGCCUCUGAUUUAAGCUUCUGCUCAAGGAGGGGUUUAUGUGCUAUUAGCUUGUUGGUGAGGUAAAAGCUCACCAAGGCUACGAUGGCUAGCCGGCCUGAGAGGGUGACCGGCCACAUUGGGACUGAGACACUGCCCAGACUCCUACGGGAGGCUGCAGUCGAGAAUCUUCCGCAAUGCGCGAAAGCGUGACGGAGCGACGCCGCGUGGGUGAUGAAGGCCUUCGGGUUGUAAAGCCCUGUCAGCUAUUAUGAAUCGCGGGCGGUGAAUAGCCGUCCCGUCUGACAAAAGUAGCAAAGGAAGCACCGGCUAACUACGUG
RNAcentral lists this ribosomal RNA (498 nucleotides) under uncultured bacterium. RNAcentral describes it as "bacterial SSU rRNA". It matches the Rfam family "Bacterial small subunit ribosomal RNA", at positions 31 to 507 of the family's 1533-position model. The record is from RNAcentral.